GUAAUCGCAGAUCAGCAACGCUGCGGUGAAUACGUUCCCGGGCCUUGUACACACCGCCCGUCACGUCAUGAAAGUCGGUAACACCCGAAGCCAGUGGCCUAACCCUCGGGAGGGAGCUGUCGAAGGUGGGAUCGGCGAUUGGGACGAAGUCGUAACAAGGUAGCCGUACCGGAAGGUGCGGCUGGAUCAC
Molecule: ribosomal RNA, 190 nt
Filed under: Mycobacterium tuberculosis
Lineage: Bacteria; Bacillati; Actinomycetota; Actinomycetes; Mycobacteriales; Mycobacteriaceae
Description: partial 16S ribosomal RNA
Rfam family: Bacterial small subunit ribosomal RNA
Source: RNAcentral